RNAcentral lists this transfer RNA (74 nucleotides) under Coniophora puteana RWD-64-598 SS2. Its description in RNAcentral is "tRNA-Asn (GTT) (tRNA-Asn-GTT-1-1)". It matches the Rfam family "tRNA". From Rfam's summary of the family: Transfer RNA (tRNA) molecules are approximately 80 nucleotides in length. Their secondary structure includes four short double-helical elements and three loops (D, anti-codon, and T loops). The record is from RNAcentral. Lineage: Eukaryota; Fungi; Basidiomycota; Agaricomycetes; Boletales; Coniophoraceae. RNAcentral also lists the same sequence under 1 other name.
UGCCCCGUGGCUGAGUUGGUUACAGCGUCCGACUGUUAAUCGGAAGGUCGUGAGUUCGAGCCUCACCGGGGCAG